GAGAACUGAUAUUUCGAGAAGUCAAAUGAGAGAGUAACGUCUUGAAGGGCUUCCUUUGAUACUCCGACUAGCACUGACGCUAAUAAGAGUUUUGGUGUUAGAAGUUCGGUAAAGACGGCUGAGAGUGCAUCCUAACAGGCUAUGCUGAGGAAAAGCGAACCAGAGGUGGUCGAAUGUAUGAUAGGUCGGGAGUCCAUAAA
This is a non-coding RNA of Clostridium oryzae, 200 nucleotides long. Lineage: Bacteria; Bacillati; Bacillota; Clostridia; Eubacteriales; Clostridiaceae. The record is from Rfam.